UGGGGAAUUUUGCACAAUGGGGGAAACCCUGAUGCAGCGACGCCGCGUGAUUUAGAAGGCCUUCGGGUUGUAAAAAUCUUUUCUAUGGGAAGAAAAUGACAGUACCAUAGGAAUAAGGACCGGCUAAUUACGUGCCAGCAGCCGCGGUAAUACGUAAGGUCCGAGCGUUGUCCGGAAUCACUGGGCGUAAAGGGUACGUAGGCGGGUAAGCAAGUUAGAAGUUAAAUCCUAUAGCUCAACUAUAGUAAGCUUUUAAAACUGCUCAUCUUGAGGUAUGGAAGGGAAAGUGGAAUUCCUAGUGUAGCGGUGAAAUGCGCAGAUAUUAGGAGGAAUACCGGUGGCGAAGGCGACUUUCUGGCCAUAACCUGACGCUGAGGUACGAAAGCGUGGGUAGCAAACAGG
RNAcentral lists this ribosomal RNA (402 nucleotides) under Fusobacteriota bacterium. RNAcentral's name for it is "Fusobacteria bacterium partial 16S ribosomal RNA". It matches the Rfam family "Bacterial small subunit ribosomal RNA", at positions 355 to 776 of the family's 1533-position model. The record is from RNAcentral. Lineage: Bacteria; Fusobacteriati; Fusobacteriota.